CGAAGGUGCAAGCGUUACUCGGAAUUACUGGGCGUAAAGCGUGCGUAGGUGGUUGUUAAGUCUGUUGUGAAGCCCUGGGCUCAACCUGGGAAUUGCAAUGGAUACUGGGCGACUAGAGUGUGGUAGAGGACAGUGGAAUUUCCGGUGUAGCAGUGAAAUGCGUAGAGAUCGGAAGGAACAUCUGUGGCGAAGGCGACUGUCUGGGCCAACACUGACACUGAGGCACGAAAGCGUGGGAGCAAACAGGAUU
Molecule: ribosomal RNA, 250 nt
Filed under: uncultured bacterium
Lineage: Bacteria
Description: partial 16S ribosomal RNA
Rfam family: Bacterial small subunit ribosomal RNA
Source: RNAcentral